GACGAACGCUGGCGGCGUGCUUAACACAUGCAAGUCGAACGGAAAGGCCCUGCUUUUGUGGGGUGCUCGAGUGGCGAACGGGUGAGUAACACGUGAGUAACCUGCCCUUGACUUUGGGAUAACUUCAGGGAACUGGGGCUAAUACCGGAUAGGAGCUCCUGCUGCAUGGUGGGGGUUGGAAAGUUUCGGCGGUUGGGGAUGGACUCGCGGCUUAUCAGCUUGUUGGUGGGGUAGUGGCUUACCAAGGCUUUGACGGGUAGCCGGCCUGAGAGGGUGACCGGCCACAUUGGGACUGAGAUACGGCCCAGACUCCUACGGGAGGCAGCAGUGGGGAAUAUUGCACAAUGGGCGGAAGCCUGAUGCAGCAACGCCGCGUGCGGGAUGACGGCCUUCGGGUUGUAAACCGCUUUCGCCUGUGACGAAGCGUGAGUGACGGUGAUGGGUAAAGAAGCACCGGCUAACUACGUGCCAGCAGCCGCGGUGAUACGUAGGGUGCGAGCGUUGUCCGGAUUUAUUGGGCGUAAAGGGCUCGUAGGUGGUUGAUCGCGUCGGAAGUGUAAUCUUGGGGCUUAACCCUGAGCGUGCUUUCGAUACGGGUUGACUUGAGGAAGGUAGGGGAGAAUGGAAUUCCUGGUGGAGCGGUGGAAUGCGCAGAUAUCAGGAGGGACACCAGUGGCGAAGGCGGUUCUCUGGGCCUUUCCUGACGCUGAGGAGCGAAAGCGUGGGGAGCGAACAGGCUUAGAUACCCUGGUAGUCCACGCUGUAAACGGUGGGUACUAGGUGUGGGGUCCAUUCCACGGGUUCCGUGCCGUAGCUAACGCUUUAAGUACCCCGCCUGGGGAGUACGGCCGCAAGGCUAAAACUCAAAGGAAUUGACGGGGCCCCGCACAAGCGGCGGAGCAUGCGGAUUAAUUCGAUGCAACGCGUAGAACCUUACCUGGGUUUGACAUGGAUCGGGAGUGCUCAGAGAUGGGUGUGCCUCUUUUGGGGUCGGUUCACAGGUGGUGCAUGGCUGUCGUCAGCUCGUGUCGUGAGAUGUUGGGUUAAGUCCCGCAACGAGCGCAACCCUUGUUCACUGUUGCCAGCACGUUAUGGUGGGGACUCAGUGGAGACCGCCGGGGUCAACUCGGAGGAAGGUGGGGAUGACGUCAAGUCAUCAUGCCCCUUAUGUCCAGGGCUUCACGCAUGCUACAAUGGCUGGUACAGAGAGUGGCGAGCCUGUGAGGGUGAGCGAAUCUCGGAAAGCCGGUCUCAGUUCGGAUUGGGGUCUGCAACUCGACCUCAUGAAGUCGGAGUCGCUAGUAAUCGCAGAUCAGCAACGCUGCGGUGAAUACGUUCCCGGG
RNAcentral lists this ribosomal RNA (1343 nucleotides) under uncultured bacterium. Its description in RNAcentral is "16S ribosomal RNA". It matches the Rfam family "Bacterial small subunit ribosomal RNA", at positions 28 to 1378 of the family's 1533-position model. The record is from RNAcentral.